UACGUAGGGGGCAAGCGUUGUCCGGAUUUAUUGGGCGUAAAGAGCGUGUAGGCGGCCAGACAGGUCCGUUGUGAAAACUGGAGGCUCAACCUCCAGACGUCGAUGGAAACCGUCUGGCUAGAGUCCGGAAGAGGAGAGUGGAAUUCCGUGGUGUAGCGGUGAAAUGCGCAGAUAUCAGGAAGAACACCCGUGGCGAAAGCGGCUCUCUGGGACGGUACUGACGCUGAGACGCGAAAGCGUGGGGAGCGAACAGG
Molecule: ribosomal RNA, 254 nt
Filed under: uncultured bacterium
Lineage: Bacteria
Description: partial 16S ribosomal RNA
Rfam family: Bacterial small subunit ribosomal RNA
Source: RNAcentral